UUUCGGGUAGCAAUAUUCGGAGUGUUGAGCGGCGCAAGGGUGCGUAACACGUGGGCAACCUGCCUUGAAGCGGGGGAUAACUCCGAGAAAUCGGAGCUAAUACCGCAUGUGAAUUUUGGGAGGCCUCUUUCGAAAUUCAAAGCUGGGGAUCGUAAGACCUGGCACUUCAAGAUGGGCCCGCGGCCUAUCAGCUAGUUGGUGAGGUAACGGCUCACCAAGGCUAAGACGGGUAGCUGGUCUGAGAGGACGACCAGCCACACUGGAACUGAGACACGGUCCAGACACCUACGGGUGGCAGCAGUCGAGAAUUUUUCACAAUGGGGGAAACCCUGAUGGAGCGACGCCGCGUGGGGGAUGAAGGGCUUCGGCUCGUAAACCCCUGUCAGCCGCGAACAAUGCUUACGACCUAACACGUCGUGAGUUGAUUGUAGUGGCAGAGGAAGGGACGGCUAACUCUGUGCCAGCAGCCGCGGUAAUACAGAGGUCCCGAGCGUUGUUCGGAUUUACUGGGCGUAAAGGGUGCGUAGGUGGUCGGGUAAGUCUCAUGUGAAAUCCCGCAGCUUAACUGCGGAACGGCAUGGGAUACUAUUCGGCUCGAGGAUUGGAGGGGGGACUGGAAUUCCCGGUGUAGCAGUGAAAUGCGUAGAUAUCGGGAGGAACACCAGUGGCGAAGGCGAGUCCCUGGACAAUUCCUGACGCUGAGGCACGAAAGCCAGGGGAGCAAACAGGAUUAGAUACCCUGGUAGUCCUGGCUGUAAACGGUGCUCACUUGCUGUAGACGGAAUCGACCCCGUCUGUGGCG
Molecule: ribosomal RNA, 802 nt
Filed under: uncultured Verrucomicrobiota bacterium
Lineage: Bacteria; Pseudomonadati; Verrucomicrobiota
Description: bacterial SSU rRNA
Rfam family: Bacterial small subunit ribosomal RNA
Source: RNAcentral